AGGCCUAUGACAAGGUUUUUGAAAAGAUUUGGGCUGCUUCAGGAGGUUGGGCUGUCAUCAUGUGUCCUUGUGGCAUAGUUUACAGUAUAAAAUGUAAUCUGCGAGCAGAAAGUCCACGGGAUUUUGCAGAUAUGCUUCUGUCUUGGAAGCAUCUGCCUAAUGUUGUUAUUUAUGCCUUUGCCCGUGGACUGUCCACCCACACAAAUUUAAGGCAACCCAUAACUUUCACACCUUUCGAGGGAAGGUUACUCGAACCAACCACUGAAAAUAUUGCAAAAGCAAAAUCAGGAAAAUUACAACUGCAAAAAAGCCAGAUCCGCAUGGUCAUCCAAUAACUGGUUCUGCAGAACACUAUGUUCUGUAUGACCGCUUUCACGAAGACAACACAAAAGAUCCUCGUGAUUCACUGAGGAAGCUUCGUCUUGUGCCUCAACUAGCUGGCAAAGUUAACAGUCAGGCUGCAGAACAGCUUUUUUCAAAGCUAAAGAAAAAUAACUACUUUAUGAACAUGGCAUUGCCAUCCACACAUGUUUUCCUCAUGCGAAACAUCUUCCACCAUUACAAUGUCAGAAAAAACGAGAAACGUCUUCAUGACAUAAAAAAGGAAUUCAACAAAAACAUUCACAUGAAUGACCGUAGCCAGGUUGUGUUAGGUAAUGUUUCCCUUACUUUGUAACAAAUACAUCACUAUAUCCAUAACUGUACUUAUGUGUAUAUUUGUAUUUAUAGAAAAUCCAUCCUCCACAGAGAAAUGCAUGGACAUGUCACUUGGACCACUGACAGCACUGCCAGAAAAUAUUGUGACUUUACAAACGACCGCUGCAUCACCAGGCAUA
This is a non-coding RNA of Danio rerio (zebrafish), 836 nucleotides long. NCBI's taxonomy places the organism in Eukaryota, Metazoa, Chordata, Actinopteri, Cypriniformes, Danionidae. The record is from RefSeq and is a predicted model, not a curated record.